UUACGACCAGGGCUACACACGUGCUACAAUGGCGCAUACAAAGAGAAGCGACCUCGCGAGAGCAAGCGGACCUCAUAAAGUGCGUCGUAGUCCGGAUUGGAGUCUGCAACUCGACUCCAUGAAGUCGGAAUCGCUAGUAAUCGUGGAUCAGAAUGCCACGGUGAAUACGUUCCCGGGCCUUGUACACACCGCCCGUCACACCAUGGGAGUGGGUUGCAAAAGAAGUAGGUAGCUUAACCUUCGGGAGGGCGCUUACCACUUUGUGAUUCAUGACUGGGGUGAAGUCGUAACAAGGUAACCGUAGGGGAACCUGCGGUUGGA
RNAcentral lists this ribosomal RNA (321 nucleotides) under Escherichia coli. RNAcentral's name for it is "bacterial SSU rRNA". It matches the Rfam family "Bacterial small subunit ribosomal RNA", at positions 1202 to 1522 of the family's 1533-position model. The record is from RNAcentral. Lineage: Bacteria; Pseudomonadati; Pseudomonadota; Gammaproteobacteria; Enterobacterales; Enterobacteriaceae.